Small nuclear RNA from Lutra lutra (Eurasian river otter), 103 nucleotides. The record is from RefSeq and is a predicted model, not a curated record. NCBI's taxonomy places the organism in Eukaryota, Metazoa, Chordata, Mammalia, Carnivora, Mustelidae.
GUGCUCGCGUCGCGGCACAUACGCCAAAAAUUGGAACAAGAGUAGAUGAGCACAGCCCCUGCGCGAGGAUGACACGCAAAUUCGUGAAGCAUUCCAUAUUAAC